GACGAACGCUGGCGGCGUGCCUAAUACAUGCAAGUAGAACGCUGAAGAGAGGAGCUUGCUCUUCUUGGAUGAGUUGCGAACGGGUGAGUAACGCGUAGGUAACCUGCCUUGUAGCGGGGGAUAACUAUUGGAAACGAUAGCUAAUACCGCAUAACAAUGGAUGACACAUGUCAUUUAUUUGAAAGGGGCAAUUGCUCCACUACAAGAUGGACCUGCGUUGUAUUAGCUAGUAGGUGAGGUAAUGGCUCACCUAGGCGACGAUACAUAGCCGACCUGAGAGGGUGAUCGGCCACACUGGGACUGAGACACGGCCCAGACUCCUACGGGAGGCAGCAGUAGGGAAUCUUCGGCAAUGGGGGCAACCCUGACCGAGCAACGCCGCGUGAGUGAAGAAGGUUUUCGGAUCGUAAAGCUCUGUUGUAAGUCAAGAACGGGUGUGAGAGUGGAAAGUUCACACUGUGACGGUAGCUUACCAGAAAGGGACGGCUAACUACGUGCCAGCAGCCGCGGUAAUACGUAGGUCCCGAGCGUUGUCCGGAUUUAUUGGGCGUAAAGCGAGCGCAGGCGGUUUGAUAAGUCUGAAGUUAAAGGCUGUGGCUCAACCAUAGUUCGCUUUGGAAACUGUCAGACUUGAGUGCAGAAGGGGAGAGUGGAAUUCCAUGUGUAGCGGUGAAAUGCGUAGAUAUAUGGAGGAACACCGGUGGCGAAAGCGGCUCUCUGGUCUGUAACUGACGCUGAGGCUCGAAAGCGUGGGGAGCGAACAGGAUUAGAUACCCUGGUAGUCCACGCCGUAAACGAUGAGUGCUAGGUGUUGGAUCCUUUCCGGGAUUCAGUGCCGCAGCUAACGCAUUAAGCACUCCGCCUGGGGAGUACGACCGCAAGGUUGGAACUCAAUGGAAUUGACGGGGGCCCGCACAAGCGGUGGAGCAUGUGGUUUAAUUCGAAGCAACGCGAAGAACCUUACCAGGUCUUGACAUCCCGAUGCUAUUUCUAGAGAUAGAAAGUUACUUCGGUACAUCGGUGACAGGUGGUGCAUGGUUGUCGUCAGCUCGUGUCGUGAGAUGUUGGGUUGAGUCCCGCAACGAGCGCAACCCCUAUUGUUAGUUGCCAUCAUUCAGUUGGGCACUCUAGCGAGACUGCCGGUAAUAAACCGGAGGAAGGUGGGGAUGACGUCAAAUCAUCAUGCCCCUUAUGACCUGGGCUACACACGUGCUACAAUGGUUGGUACAACGAGUUGCGAGUCGGUGACGGCGAGCUAAUCUCUUAAAGCCAAUCUCAGUUCGGAUUGUAGGCUGCAACUCGCCUACAUGAAGUCGGAAUCGCUAGUAAUCGCGGAUCAGCACGCCGCGGUGAAUACGUUCCCGGGCCU
This 1369-nucleotide ribosomal RNA is filed under the name uncultured bacterium. RNAcentral's name for it is "bacterial SSU rRNA". It matches the Rfam family "Bacterial small subunit ribosomal RNA", at positions 28 to 1381 of the family's 1533-position model. The record is from RNAcentral.